Molecule: ribosomal RNA, 488 nt
Filed under: uncultured bacterium
Lineage: Bacteria
Description: partial 16S ribosomal RNA
Rfam family: Bacterial small subunit ribosomal RNA
Source: RNAcentral
AUUGAACGCUGGCGGCAGGCCUAACACAUGCAAGUCGAACGGUAACAGGAAGAAGCUUGCUUCUUUGCUGACGAGUGGCGGACGGGUGAGUAAUGUCUGGGAAACUGCCUGAUGGAGGGGGAUAACUACUGGAAACGGUAGCUAAUACCGCAUAACGUCGCAAGACCAAAGAGGGGGACCUUCGGGCCUCUUGCCAUCGGAUGUGCCCAGAUGGGAUUAGCUAGUAGGUGGGGUAACGGCUCACCUAGGCGACGAUCCCUAGCUGGUCUGAGAGGAUGACCAGCCACACUGGAACUGAGACACGGUCCAGACUCCGACGGGAGGCAGCAGUGGGGAAUAUUGCACAAUGGGCGCAAGACUGAUGCAGCCAUGCCGCGUGUAUGAAGAAGGCCUUCGGGUUGUAAAGUACUUUCAGCGGGGAGGAAGGGAGUAAAGUUAAUACCUUUGCUCAUUGACGUUACCCGCAGAAGAAGCACCGGCUAACUCCG